Long non-coding RNA from Lolium perenne, 564 nucleotides. RefSeq lists it as uncharacterized. The record is from RefSeq and is a predicted model, not a curated record. Lineage: Eukaryota; Viridiplantae; Streptophyta; Magnoliopsida; Poales; Poaceae.
UAUAUAAAUGGAGUAUGCCUAACGACACAAGAACACACACGCAUUCAUCCCAAACCAGUCGACCACAGGAGAACACACGCAUCCUGAUCGACCACCAUGGCUUUCUCCUCGAGAAGCUUGGCCGUGUUUCUGUGCGUGAUCCUGGUCUCGCUCGCGUUCGCCACGCGGGACGCGCUCGCGGCCAGAGCCCUUCUUCAAGACGGCCCUCCAUACACAACCGGCCCUCCUUACACCGGUGUUGGCUAUCCUGCCGUGCCUGGACCUUAGGCGCAGGAUUCGGUUACGAUGCUUCGAUCAAGUAUAUGUAUGUAGAUACGGCGCCCAUGGAUAAAUAAGUUUGUCGCCCAGCAUCCACUCGCCGGUCAUAUAUGGCGCACAACUGUAUUCCGUUUUAUAAGUUUCCCUUUUCCGAAUAAACGCCAUGGAGCUAGCUGUGUGUGUGCGCGCGUGCGCGCGCUUGCGAUGUGCGUGAAUAGAGUCGAGAGUCUGUGGGUCGUGUCCUAGUUGAGGCGCUGCCUGAAAUGUAUAAGUCUUUUGGGUAACACGACGUCUAACAUUUACUUC